This 465-nucleotide ribosomal RNA is filed under the name uncultured bacterium. Its description in RNAcentral is "partial 16S ribosomal RNA". It matches the Rfam family "Bacterial small subunit ribosomal RNA", at positions 338 to 795 of the family's 1533-position model. The record is from RNAcentral.
CCUACGGGUGACAGCAGUGGGGAAUAUUGCUCAAUGGGCGAAAGCCUGACGCAGCGACGCCGCGUGAGGGAUGAAGGUCUUCGGAUCGUAAACCUCUUUUAGCAGGGAAGAACGGUCACUUUGCUAAUCAGCGGUGAAUUGACGGUACCUGCAAGGAAAGCACCGUCUAACUCCGUGCGCGCAGCCGCGGUAAUACGGAGGUGGCGAGCGUUAAUCGGAAUUACUGGGCGUAAAGAGCUCGUAGGCGGUAUGUCAGGUCAGGGGUGAAAUCCCCGCGCUCAACGUGGGAACUGCCUUUGAAACUGGCAAACUGGAGUGUGUGAGAGGAAAGUGGAAUUCCAGGUGUAGGAGUGAAAUCCGUAGAGAUCAGGAGGAACAUCAGUGGCGAAGGCGACUAUCUGGCACAUAACUGACGCUGAGGCGCGAAAGCGUGGGUAGCAAACAGGAUUAGAUACCCCGGUAGUC